This 255-nucleotide ribosomal RNA is filed under the name uncultured bacterium. RNAcentral describes it as "partial 16S ribosomal RNA". It matches the Rfam family "Bacterial small subunit ribosomal RNA", at positions 524 to 777 of the family's 1533-position model. The record is from RNAcentral.
UACGUAGGGUGCGAGCGUUGUCCGGAAUUAUUGGGCGUAAAGAGCUCGUAGGCGGUCUGUCGCGUCGAUCGUGAAAACUUGGGGCUUAACCCUGAGCUUGCGGUCGAUACGGGCAUGACUGGAGUUCGGCAGGGGAGACUGGAAUUCCUGGUGUAGCGGUGAAAUGCGCAGAUAUCAGGAGGAACACCGGUGGCGAAGGCGGGUCUCUGGGCCGAUACUGACGCUGAGGAGCGAAAGCGUGGGGAGCGAACAGGA